This is a long non-coding RNA of Mytilus californianus (California mussel), 467 nucleotides long. RefSeq lists it as uncharacterized. The transcript has 3 exons. Lineage: Eukaryota; Metazoa; Mollusca; Bivalvia; Mytilida; Mytilidae. The record is from RefSeq and is a predicted model, not a curated record.
GGUUUAAUUCCGACAAUCUCCCAGUCAGAAAGGUCUUUGUAAAUAGGGGAUUCACAUUCAUUACCAACAUGAAACAACUGCUGCUCCUAGUUCUCCCGUGUAUUGUUGCAAUAGUUUUGGUGAAUGUAAAUGCACAAGCAGGUUUCGGUGGCGGUGGUAAAAGUGUCGGUGGUGCCGGCGGUUAUGGUGGCAUGGGUGGCUAUUCAAUGAAUUCUGUUUACUAUCCGUACCCCGUCCAGAGCAGAUCAAGACCAAGCGUUAUCGGACCACUACUGCAAGAAAUCCAGGCAGAAAACAACAGAGCAAUGAUUGCAAAUCUUUUUGCUUGGGGCUUGCUCUUAGCAGUAAUGAAUAACUUAACAGGAAUUAUCAGUUAAGGAAAAUUUGAUGAAAACUAAUGUGUUUAAAGGGGGUAUUUGGCGACCAGACAUCAGGUGUUGACAAUUUAUAAUAAAUUAGUUAAUUUA